GAGAAAUCGCCAAAGGUGUUGGUAUGAAAAAAAAAAAAGAAAUCAUGGAAAAAGCACUGAAAUUGGAUAUAAAAAUAUCAA
Molecule: transfer RNA, 81 nt
Filed under: Cryptomonas curvata
Lineage: Eukaryota; Cryptophyceae; Cryptomonadales; Cryptomonadaceae
Source: RNAcentral